Tetranychus urticae (two-spotted spider mite) is the source of this 1023-nucleotide long non-coding RNA. RefSeq lists it as uncharacterized. NCBI's taxonomy places the organism in Eukaryota, Metazoa, Arthropoda, Arachnida, Trombidiformes, Tetranychidae. The record is from RefSeq and is a predicted model, not a curated record.
UUAAUGUUUUGUUGAGUGAUUUGAGGGGACAAAAAAGAAAGCAAAACAAAUUUAAAAUUGAAAAAAAGGAAAAUAAACUAAUUAAGAUGAAGGCGAAUAAAUUGUUUUCAGAUGAGUCAACCAUAAAGAAGGUACCUAAACGGCGCUUAACACACCAUUCAUCCAAAUUAUUGGGUUGCCAAUGUGUACACCAAAACUCAUCAACAAUGCCAGCAAUUUUUUGCCUCUUAACCUUCGCAUGUUAAUCAACAAAAUCAAGAAGCAAGAUACAAAAAAUUGUCAAAACUCUUUUCAUUUUUUAUGAACCAAAAACAGGGUUUUGUUCAUAUUUUAAGAAUGAACAUUUCAAGAUUUUCCGUUACUUAUCAUUAAUAUUUCAAAUAACUUAUUGACUGCAAAGGCUCCAUCUUCUGUAUGAUUUGUCAACAGUAAAAGUAAAUAAAUCUAACUUUGAUAGCUUCUUUUUAAUAAAUUGAUCUAAUCUUUGUUAUUGUUAUUGAUAUUGUUUUAUUAUUUUAUUACAAUUGUGAGCUGGAUUAAGUGAAAUUUGCCUGUCUUAAUCUCUCUAAUUCUCUAUCUUCUCAACAAUAAAGCUUUUUUAGCAAGUAAAUCGUAAGCUUUUCAUUUUUUGAUACACAAGUCGUUUCCUCUUUUUGCAUAUCAAUUUCUUCUUUCAUUCAUAUUAACUUGUAAGUGUCAAUUUAAUUCUUCAACUACAAUUCUUCAAGUGUAAUAAAUCCUGUGUAAGGAACAUUUGGUUGAUCAUAAUGAUAAUCAAAGUUGAUCUUGAAACGAUGCCAAAAAAUCAAUUGGAUUACAGACGAUUAUAAAAAUAUUCAUUGCAUGAUGUUCACUUUGACAAAUUAUACCAUUUCUUCAGGAUAAAUAUAGUGAUUUUGCCGUAUAAAAUAAAAAUCCACUUUGUCCAUAAUAUCAGUUCAAAUGUUCAAUUGGCAUCAGCCAAAGAUGUAAUUCGUUUGUGAUACUCUUUACAGAUUUUCAUCAACUCAGCUGAUUGGGAAA